Molecule: ribosomal RNA, 253 nt
Filed under: uncultured bacterium
Lineage: Bacteria
Description: partial 16S ribosomal RNA
Rfam family: Archaeal small subunit ribosomal RNA
Source: RNAcentral
UACCAGCACCCCGAGUGGUCGGGACGAUUAUUGGGCCUAAAGCAUCCGUAGCCGGCCUUACAAGUCCUCCGUUAAAUCCAGCUGCUUAACAGAUGGGCUGCGGAGGAUACUAUAAGACUAGGAGGCAGGAGAGGCAAGCGGUACUCAGUGGGUAGGGGUAAAAUCCGUUGAUCCAUUGAAGACCACCAGUGGCGAAGGCGGUUCUCUGGGACGGUACUGACGCUGAGACGCGAAAGCGUGGGGAGCGAACAGG